AGUCUUGGAAAGAGAGGAGAAAAUUAUCUCUCCAAGAAAAGGACGGACCUCACCUCAAACUCUGGUAAGAUGGCUACUCUUAAGACUAAACAGUGUCUAAACCUCGUAACUCGAUUCAUCAACUCUCGAACUCCACCUUUUCAUUACAAAAAUACCCGCACUCUCCAAACCCUAGCUUUCAAAGAAAUCCAAUCUUCACCCAACAAACCUGACGCGCCUACAGCUUUCAUUCUCCACGGGCUCUUAGGUUCUGGUCGCAACUGACGUUCUUUCUCUCGCAAUCUCGCUUCCUCUUUUUCUGAGUGGAGGAUGGUGCUUGUGGAUAUGAGGAACCAUGGCAAAUCUGUUGAUAUAGAGGGAUUAGACCCACCUCAUAAUAUGUUUAAUGCGGCUAUGGAUGUGGCUAAUUUGGUGAAAGAGAAAGGUUGGGAAUGGCCUGAUGUUGUUAUUGGUCAUUCUAUGGGAGGCAAAGUUGCUUUGCAAUUUGCUGAGAGCUGCACUCGUGGUGAUUAUGGUCAUUCUGUUUCUUUUCCUAAACAGCUGUGGGUACUGGAUUCUGUGCCUGUAGAAGUAAGUCCUGAAUAUAGUGAUGGAGAAGUUGAAAAAGUUUUGAGGACCUUGCAUAGUUUACCCUCACCAAUCCCAUCACGAAGCUGGCUUGUGAACCAUAUGAUUCAACUUGGUUUCUCAAAAUCAUUAUCAGAAUGGAUUGGAAGCAACCUCAAGAAAUCUGGAGAGCAAGAGAGUUGGGCCUUUGAUCUCAAAGGUGCUAUCCAGAUGUUCAACUUUUACAGGUCAACCUCUAUUUUUUUUUAUCGAAUCAAUCAAAUUUAAAUGCCUUCCUUUGUGGAAUAUAAAUAAUGACAUUGACAGUCUAAAUAGUGAAUAUAAAAAUUCUAUAAGGAGACUUCAUAUUGGUCUCUGCUGGAACAUCCACCAAAAGGAAUGGAGAUAGGACUAGUAGUUGCAGAGAAGAGUGACCGCUGGGAUCCAGAUUUAAUUCAGCGACUUGAAAGCCUUUCUUGCCGGACCAGGGAUGAAUCUGAGGGGAAGUUCUCGCUUCAUGUUCUUCCAAAUUCAGGGCACUGGGUUCAUGUGGACAAUCCAAAGCGACUUCUUGAGAUUGUGACUCCCAGGAUGGCUUCCCUUUCGACAUAAUCGUAUGGAUUUUAGGUUGUGAUUUGUAAGUCAGAUUUGCUACAAAAGUAUGAUCAAAUUACCAGUAUUCCAGAUCAUUUGGAUAGUACUGUUUUUUUCCACUGUGAUGCAACAGGUUGAUUUUUUCUAGUCAUGCUUGAACAAUAUGAAUAAUUGAUCUUUUCUUUGCAAGUAAAUGUUUGGGAAUGGUUAAGUGCCUAAUAAAAAACAACCAUAACGGAAGGCAAAUUACCUGUAA
Molecule: RNA transcript, 1396 nt
Organism: Populus trichocarpa (black cottonwood)
Lineage: Eukaryota; Viridiplantae; Streptophyta; Magnoliopsida; Malpighiales; Salicaceae
Exons: 5
Source: RefSeq, a predicted model, not a curated record